This 66-nucleotide transfer RNA is filed under the name Tragiscus dimidiatus. Its description in RNAcentral is "tRNA-Gly". The record is from RNAcentral. Lineage: Eukaryota; Metazoa; Arthropoda; Insecta; Coleoptera; Scarabaeidae.
AUUUAUAUAGUAUAAAAAUUAUAUUUAACUUCCAAUUAAAUGAUCUAAUACAUAUUAGUAUAAAUA